CAGUCGCCGCGGGAAUACGUAGGGUGCAAGCGUUAUCCGGAAUUAUUGGGCGUAAAGAGCUCGUAGGCGGUUUGUCGCGUCUGCUGUGAAAACUGGAGGCUCAACCUCCAGCCUGCAGUGGGUACGGGCAGACUAGAGUGCGGUAGGGGAGAUUGGAAUUCCUGGUGUAGCGGUGGAAUGCGCAGAUAUCAGGAGGAACACCGAUGGCGAAGGCAGAUCUCUGGGCCGUAACUGACGCUGAGGAGCGAAAGCGUGGGGAGCGAACAGGAUUAGAUACCCGCGUAGUCCCUGUCUCUUAUAC
Molecule: ribosomal RNA, 301 nt
Filed under: uncultured bacterium
Lineage: Bacteria
Description: partial 16S ribosomal RNA
Rfam family: Bacterial small subunit ribosomal RNA
Source: RNAcentral